AUGAACGCUGGCGGCGUGCCUAAUACAUGCACGUCGAGCGAACGGACGAGAAGCUUGCUUCUCUGAUGUUAGCGGCGGACGGGUGAGUAACACGUGGAUAACCUACCUAUAAGACUGGGAUAACUUCGGGAAACCGGAGCUAAUACCGGAUAAUAUUUUGAACCGCAUGGUUCAAAAGUGAAAGACGGUCUUGCUGUCACUUAUAGACGGAUCCGCGCUGCAUUAGCUAGUUGGUAAGGUAACGGCUUACCAAGGCAACGAUGCAUAGCCGACCUGAGAGGGUGAUCGGCCACACUGGAACUGAGACACGGUCCAGACUCCUACGGGAGGCAGCAGUAGGGAAUCUUCCGCAAUGGGCGAAAGCCUGACGGAGCAACGCCGCGUGAGUGAUGAAGGUCUUCGGAUCGUAAAACUCUGUUAUUAGGGAAGAACAUAUGUGUAAGUAACUGUGCACAUCUUGACGGUACCUAAUCAGAAAGCCACGGCUAACUACGUG
RNAcentral lists this ribosomal RNA (496 nucleotides) under uncultured bacterium. Its description in RNAcentral is "partial 16S ribosomal RNA". It matches the Rfam family "Bacterial small subunit ribosomal RNA", at positions 29 to 507 of the family's 1533-position model. The record is from RNAcentral.